GCUUUUGUGGUGUAGAGGUCAGCACGCUCGGCGUGUACUUGAGAAGUUGGUGGUUCGAUUCCCGGCGAUAGCA
Molecule: transfer RNA, 73 nt
Filed under: Stegodyphus mimosarum
Lineage: Eukaryota; Metazoa; Arthropoda; Arachnida; Araneae; Eresidae
Rfam family: tRNA
About the family: Transfer RNA (tRNA) molecules are approximately 80 nucleotides in length. Their secondary structure includes four short double-helical elements and three loops (D, anti-codon, and T loops).
Source: Rfam by way of RNAcentral